GACUACCAGGGUAUCUAAUCCUGUUUGCUCCCCACACUUUCGUGCUUUAGCGUCAGUUUUGAGCCAGGCAACUGCCUUCGCCAUUGGUGUUCUAUCUGAUAUCUACGCAUUUCACUGCUACACCAGAUAUUCCAUUGCCCUCUCUCAAACUCCAGACUUGCAGUAUCAAAGGCAGCUCCAAAGUUAAGCUUUGGGAUUUCACCUCUGACUUACAAACCCACCUGAGCACCCUUUACACCCAGUAAAUCCGGACAACUCUAGCACCCUACGUAUUACCGCGGCUGCUGGCACGUAGUUAGCCGGUGCUUACUCUGAGGGUACAAUCAACACAGUAUAAACUGUAUAUUUUUCCCCUCUUACAGGAGUUUACAUACAAAAGUAUUUCAUCCUCCACGCGGCGUUGCUGCUUCAGCCUUUCGGCCAUUGAGCAAUAUUCCUUACUGCAGCCUCCCGUAGG
RNAcentral lists this ribosomal RNA (457 nucleotides) under uncultured bacterium. RNAcentral describes it as "partial 16S ribosomal RNA". The record is from RNAcentral.